Molecule: non-coding RNA, 8601 nt
Organism: Varroa destructor (honeybee mite)
Lineage: Eukaryota; Metazoa; Arthropoda; Arachnida; Mesostigmata; Varroidae
Source: RefSeq, a predicted model, not a curated record
AUUGGUGUUGCCGAAGAAUACAAUAUUUGAGAUUCAAUAGCCCGCCCCCGUUCCAUUACGCGCGACACUCGGCGAUUAGUCGGCUAAUGCAUUCAUCCGACCGCAGCAGGGUAGCAUACAGUCGCAGCUGAGUGUAAGAUUUUGUAUCAAUCUUGUAACGGUGGCGAAAUGAGCGCUGUUAAAUAUUGAGCCUAACGGGAAAACCACUCGUAGGGAAGAGCUUAUAACGACGACGAAUAAAUGGCUCAUUUGCUACGAGAGAUUUUAGUGGGCGUCCAUCAUCUGCGAAGAGGUACGCUUCUAUCCGGCAGAUGAGCAGUGCUUGGUUAAGAAGCUGUAACUUCAUUCAGUGUCGUCUCUCCUCUUUAUCCGCUGCCACCCUUUUCACGCGGUGAGUUGAAUGAAUUUCGCUCGUUUAACGUUUGAAAUGAGAAGGACGAAUUCGCCUGUGAGAAGAUGCAGACAUUCGCGCUCGUCUCUCGUCCGCGGAAAAUGGUAAAUUCGUCUAGAGCUACCGUUGUCACGGAAACCGGGGUCGCGGAAUGGGGGUUUGUAGAAUGCUGGCAAUAAGAUCGGACAGUACUCAUUUGCAUGUCUGUUGAUUAUGACCAGAGACAGAUAUCAAGCAUUGAAGAACGAUCCUAAAAAUCUUUCGCAUCCAAACUCAGAUGAACAAAAACUCUGGGAACUAUACUUGCACUUAUUUUGUAACUGGGAUUUUUUUUUAAACAGAAAUUGUUAGAUAUGCAACACCACUUUAUGAAGUAUGACAAACACAAGUCAGUAGUAAAGUCUGGUUGUGUGUUUUUAAGUUCCUGUCUAUUGUGCGUUGUGCAGCUAAGUGACAGUAAAGAACCAGAUUGAGAUUUUCAGUUGGUCUGACAGCUGUGUGUGCAAUGGGUUCACUUUCAGCAAAUAGAACUUGCGUACAGUUGUCUCUGGUAAUGAUUAAGGUUAGUAUUCAAAACGAUGAGCAUGAAAAUGAAUGUUUUGCAUCUGAAAAAUCGGAGCAUGUGCAAAAGGCAUGAAUAUGUAGAUAAUAAAGGUGGCAUAUCAUGCAAACAUACUAAUAAACUAAUAAUAAUAUAUAAUAUAAUAAUCAUAAUAUUUAUCAUAAUCAACAUGCAAUAAAUUUCAAAUACACGUUAUUAUGCAUUAUUUAUAGCACACAAAUUGAUCGAAUAGGUGAAAUCAAGAAAAAUAUUUUACAGGCAGUACGUUGAAAGAGUCACAAUUGAAUGUAUUCUAUGCAGUCAUAAAUGAGAUGCAUCUAGAUUUGAGGAAAAAUCAAAGCAAAUAAUUGAUGCGCUAUCAUUUUAACUGUUGAACAGAUAAGCGUCCUUUUAUUUCUUGUGAUAUAAUUCGGUAGUUUGGAGAAUAAAAAACGAAUAAAUUAAUAUUGUAAGGCUUUUGAGCUAUUUUUCAUCAUAUCUCAACAUCAUUUGUUUAGUUAUACUCUAUAUGAGGAAAGUAACCAAGAUAGCCAACAGAAAAUUAAAUGACUAAUUACCUAUUGCAACUAGCUGCCAAAGAACUAGGAAGGGAGCGCCACUGUAGCUCAUUGAUUCGAUAGUCAACAAUUAAUAUUAUUGAUCUGUAUUGUAGGAACUAAAUUUACUUCGACAGCUCGUACUAUCAUUUCCUUAGAUCAGUUAUGGCAAUGUUUUACCGCGCCAUCAGAUGGGAGGGAGGUCCAGGUGGUUCACGGACCAGCGAAUGGUGGUGCGAUGCGUUUGGACCUUACGAAGUUUUGCUGGACUCUUCAGCAACUGCAGGGAAUUUCAGUAUAGCAGGCCCCUCACAUGGACAGCCCUUAACUCACAGGGGUGUUGGACCUUUUUUGAUGCGACCCCGAGAAAAGCUCAAGGACGGAUUCAAGCUUGUUUGCUCCCAGUCUCGCCGAAAAGCUGAUCCGUGCAAAGCUACGGCGUCUCUUGACAGCAACGGUGUCUUCCUCUUAAGGCGACACUUCCACAAUCACGGUCCUGAAUUACAUUUACCCCAGCCGGCAUCACCGCACGUACAUCUUCCACCUCCACCAAGUUUUGAAGAGGCUGCAGCGACGCUUGCCCCACCGCUUGGCCCAAUGAAAAAAGUCCUUGAGGAGUACGACACUACAAUGAUGAUUUUUGAUGAGAGCAAACAGGAGAUGGUUGAAACGCCUAUCACUAUGGAAAAUUACAUGGACAUUGUUAAAAGAGUCAAGAUGGAGGAAGUAGGCAGCAAAAGAGUAUUCCGAUGCCCAGUUCCAUCCUGCCAUCAUCAUUUCGGGUUUCGACCGAACCUUUAUGCGCACAUGAGGUUGCAUAUGCGUGGACGACGUAUGGCGUCGAUUCAGGCACCGGAGAAGCUUUGCCCACUCUGUCGUGUUGAUAUGGUCACGCACGAGGCUUUGGUUCGUCACAUCGUUGACGACCAUGACACCCGGCUGGAAUGCACAGAACACGAGUUCGAAACGUACGAUGCGUUCAAAAAAUGGAAGAUUCGUACCGAACAGGAAGACACGUCUACUUUUACUAUGCACAUGGGUAUGACACACAGCAAAUCAAAUGCAGUAUUCAGCUGUUGCCGAACAGGUCGAAAGCUAACUCAGGACGAAUACAGUAUGCAUACCUCGUACAGAAAACGACUCGGAGUGGAAUGCCCAGCGGCCAUGGUCGUUAGAGAGGUUGACGGCCGAGUUACUGUUACUUACUGGAGGAGUCAUAUCGGCCAUACACCUAAUAUUCUCGAUGUCAGAUUAACUACCGAGCACAAAGCGUGGAUUAAAGAUUUAGUGGAGAAAGGCUAUCGUAAGCGGGCCAUUGCUGCCGAAGCAGCAAGAAAUUACUUUGGUCAGGAACUGAGUCGCAGUGUUAUUAUGGACCCAGAAACGCUAAAACGUAUAUUGGUUGUUCUCAAUCUCAGCGAUAGCAAAGGAACGAUUGAUGUUCCGAUUAAGCACGACCCAAACAAUGUCGACCAGAUUCGGCUCUUCCUCGUGCAGAUGAUUCGAGACGGUUUGGAACGCCUGGGGUCUCUUGAGACUGAGCUGCAACAUUUACCGAAAGAACAUGGUGUUGAUGACCACAAAACUGUCCCUAUGGACAAUAUGCGAAUGUUGCGGCACGACCCUACCGGGCAUAUCCACAUGAAUCGUUUGUCGAAUGAAGUUGAUCGAAAGACAGUGGAAAACAAAUACCAGUAUACCACCGUUGUUUAUCCACGAAAAUCACCACAUGAAACAUGUGAGCAACUGUGUCAAGAAUGUGGCGUCUGUGCACACAGGUAUGGCUGUACGUGCAUCAAAUUUAUGUACGAUGAUAAAAUGUGCAAACAUAUUCAUACAGUGGCUAUUCGUGAGGGGUGCCCAGGCCCAGACUGGGUCGACCCUUUUCUUUCCGAAAAUACGAUUGGCUUGCAGGAGGCUUUGCGCCGACUUCAUCGUUUGAACCAUCGGGAACGCUUGAAAAAUGUUUUGCCAAUUGCGGAGGAGAUUGUCUCACUAUUAAAGGUGGAUCGUAAGGUAGACCUCAAUCAGGUCGAGGAGCACCUUCGAGGAGCACUUGUCUUACUUCGCGCCGGAGCCCCUCUACAGACGACUAGGGACGAUGAUGCUAUGAAUGUUAAAAUGUUGAAGGCGUUCAGAGCAAGACAUAUUGCUGAUCGGACGUGGGGAAAGGAUGAUCCCGAAUUUACUGUGCUGUUUAAUGCGGGAAAGCCCAUCAAGCCCAGGAAGGAGGAACUGCUCGACGAAGUCCAAGUAAAAAAAGAACCCAUACUUCUACCGAGCCAAAAGGGAGCAACUCUCCCGCCCAGCAUCCCACCUGUGGUUGUGGGUAGUUCUGAAGUGCGUUCCGGUAAUCGACUGCGAGGGAUUAAACGUUACUAUCCAGAUCUUGAUCAGUUGGUUUUAGCUGGCAGCGCCCAGGGCGCCACCACAGCAAAUCUGCCGCCGCGAUUGCCAAAGCUGACAAACAACUCCGAGUUGCCAACAAAAGCGGCACGUGCGUCAAAUCCAAUGCGAUUGCGACCCUCGACUCGAAGCUUAAAGGCAGCUUCCACUACGUCAAGAUCUUCUACAGAUACUUCAUCUUCAGCAGCUCCAUUGCCAUCCAUAUCGACGCCAGUAGCAGCGACAGCAGAGGAAGGUCCUACGAAAGCAGAAGGAGUAGAUUCGAAUUCUAAUUCGGAGAAGUCGCCACCCUCGAAGUCUAUGGCACCACCACCGAACACCAAGGUUUUUAAGACAAUUGUCCGGCCAAUGAAGAUACCUCUGGCUGACGGCACAUUUCGGCUGGUAUACGUUAAGUCGGAUAGCAGUUCACCUGUUCGGAUAUGUGCUCCACCGAGGCUUUGUAGAACCACUGACGGAAGACCAGUUAUCCGACCGCGGUUUAUGACUUCAACGGAAGGCCCCAAGAUCACAAAGAUUUCUGCCAUUAAGUCGGCGCCGCGUGUUGUCGUCUUCGCUAAUGGCAAGCCUCUAAAACCUAUUGUACCUGUGACCUCAGUCACCUCCGUGGGACCAGCCGGAUUUCAGCAGAUCGAAUCAGCGACGGGACUAAAAAGACAAGCAGCUUCGGAAGAGGCUACCAAUGCUUCUGAAGAUAGUAAUAACAGCAUGAGCAAGCAUAACUCUGUGGAUAAUUACAACGGCCAGUCAGACUCUGACCCGCCGCUAGAAUUUUAUGUCCCUGCUGGUUCUGACGAACUCAUCGAUGCAUCAAAGCAACGCUCUGCUGAGCCAAUAACUGGCGGCCCGCUAAGUACUGGAUCUGAAAAGGCUGCGGAUGUUGAAACCGCUGAGGAUGAUAUGCAAUUGAAAAGUCCUUUGCAGCUAGUGGCAGAUAUCGUCAAGCAAGAAAUUGACGCAGAACCGUUCUAGCAUUAAUAUUCCUUUGUAGAUUAAAUGUGUUACUUUGGAGAAACAAUGUAAUAUAACGCAAAAGAGUGCGUAUCGCUAGGAUGCCACUUAAAGCAUACAUGAACCUCACUCUGGAUAAAUCACCAUGUGCAAAUUACCGUGUAUACCAUGUAUAUCUAGUGCCAGUCAGCAAAGAUCGCCACUUCAUUAUCUAUGCAAAUGACAAGUUCAAAAUAGGUUGUAACGCUGUUAGCUUAAAGAAACGUUGCUGAAAAUUGCUUUAAGUAUUGUGAAGUAUUGAAAUCGUAAAACAUAAUGCCAGGUGUGGACACCGAAAUAUUUAGGAUCAGCUUUUUUCUCAUCGUUGCUUAAUUAUUAUGAUGCCAAGACCGCGUUUUAUUUGAAAAGGACAUGUCGCCAGGACACCAUGCAUAAUGAACGUAUCAUAGAGACAACGUAUAUCGGAAGUAUGUAGGACAUAAGCUCGUCACAAAGAACUGAACUGAAAUCCAUUGCUUUACGAAUCUAAAAGAUGGUGUGCGUCAUGCUAGUCGAAGAAAGAUCUCUCAACUGAAAAAAAGUAGGAAAAGAACGUCAUCUCUACUGCAUUAUUUUUAGGUGAUAAACAUUUGUUACUUGAAAGUAUUAUUUAGGAAGGGUUGGAAAAAAUGACUAAGUAAUUAUAACAAUCAAAUUACCUUAUCAGUUGUUCCAGGAACUAGGCGAAAGUGGCCUGGUAAUACUCCGAAAUAAUAAAGGAUGGAGAACUUCUUGGCAAGGUUCAAGUAAAGAAAGAACACGUAAUUCUACCGAGCCAAAACGAAACCACUGUCCAGCAUUCCUCGUGUAAUAACGAGUGAUUCUGAAGUACGUCGCGCUACUCGUAUGCAAGAAAAGAAAUUUUUCUAUCAAGACUUGGAUUUAGUUGGGAUGCUAUCAUGGCAAACCUGCUCCCACGAUUGCGGAGACUGACAAAAAACUUGCCAAUAAAAUUCACGUCUGUGUCAGAUGCUUCACAAUCAAGAUUCUCGGCUCAAGGCUUGAAGACAAGCUCCACGUUGUCGGAAUCAUCUAAGGCCACUUCUUUAAGUGUGCCAGCUCGUUCGUCGUUCGUAUUGAUGUCACGUCUUGCAACAGUCGCAACACCACCAGUAACAACAAAAACAGAGACUGGUUUCACAAAUAUAGACUCAGCUGGUUCGAAUUCUGACCCAAAGAGGUCGCCACCAUCAAAGUCAAUGGUGUCACCAGUAAAUAUCAAGAUCCUAGAGAAAAUUAGGAAUAAAGAUUCCCCAGGUUGAUGGCACAUUUCUAUCGGUGUACCUUAAAUUGGAUAGCAGUUUACCUGGUAGGAUAUGCGCACCACCAAAACAUUCUAGAACCAAUAGUGGAGCACUGGUUAUCCAAUCGCAGCUUAUUAAUUCGACAGCUGGCCCCAAAAUCAUAAAAAGCUCUGCCAUUAAGUCGGCGCUACGAGUUGUAAUCUUUACUAACGGCCAGCCUUUGAAGCUAGUUAUACCUGUGAUCUCUAGAUCCCUUCUGACGCUUUUAAAAGCAGUAACAGUAAUGUAAGCCGCCAUAUGUCCGGUGCGCCGCUGGAAUUCCAUAUCCCUGCUGGCUCCGACAAUCUCAUCUCCGCGAAGGUGAUAACUAGUAACCCGUCAGGACCUGAAUAUGUGAAAUUUGCAAAAAGACAAACAUCCGAAUAUAACUUGCAGUUAAAAAAAAGUUAAACCGGAAAUUGAUGCGGACUCGUUUUGACCCGGCUGUGCAUGUUAAGGAAGAACAAGUUCCAUUGACAAGAGGUGCAAUUGAAUGGAAGCUGCUGGGUUUGCGGUACUGACCUAAAUGUCAUUCAAAGUAGUGAUGCCACGACCAUAAUUUCAUCUUACUGUGAAUAGUCAGCCAUGUACAAGACACCAUGCCCAAUGCCAGUAACAUUACAAAGACGAUCUAGUUGACAAACAAUGCCGUGUAAUUGCGUUAUAACAGACAUACUGUAUAUAAGACACUGAAAUUAUUUAGGGUUUGUCGAGAUGUAUGUUAGUCUGGUAAGUAGCCGGUGUGAUCCAUAAACAAUUAAUAUAUGGAUCAAAAGAUGACUAGUAAAAUAUAGAUAUGUUGCAAUUAUUCAAUCACAGGCAAUUGCGCUUUCCGUCUAUACAAAAAAGUACGGAUCUCAUGAAUAACACUAUUUGCAUACCAACAAGAAAUAUUAUGUAAGUUGAAUGAAUUUGUCGUCACAUUAAAAACAAUCAAAACAAAGUGUCAUUUUGCACUACACGAUAUAUAAAAACAUGAGUUAACAAAACGAUAGAAACAACAGAAUUAUUUUUUAUUUUCUAUAUACAGUGUUACUGAUCUUGCUUUGCUGUACGGAACUCUGCGUAUAUACAAAAUUUUCCAUUCUAAACGGCAAUUAAUCUUCGAAUAAAACGUGCCGCAUACUCGACUUAUUCUUCGAUAUUUGUAGUGCGAUAAUUACCAGUUCAAAUAGGUUAACUGCGGAGAAAUAGCGGAGACAAUAUCAAUUUUAAGUAGUCGAGAAAUAGGGUAGAAAACUUUUUAAAAAGUUCAAGAUUAAUGUAGAAAAGUCAGAGAAUGAUUAGAAAACAGGUCUAACGUUUCUAUGUGAGAGAUCUCCCAGUUGCACGACGAAAUUUAAUGUGUUUCAAAUAGAACACAAUAGGUUAUCGUCGAAAACGAUUGCAGACGUUGUCAGAACAACUGUAUGGCGUGAUGCCGGAUUAAUCUGAGCGUACUGAUCUGACUAUUUUUCAAGUCUAGAGGUGUUCGAAAUGUUGUGUAAAAUAUUUUUUCAACUCUCACAUGGAUUGCAUCUUCGUUUGCCUCUUAAGCUAACAACUAAAAUGAUAUAUUCUAAUUCUAGUGGAUCCAAACAAGGCUUGUUUUGUUUUAAGAAGGUAAUCAUCAAGCUGACCAUGAUUACGCUAUAUUUGCAAAAUACAAGAUAAAUUAACUAAACCAUAAAUCUUGUAAAGCCGAUAAAUACUAUAGCGACGAAAAAGGCUAUUCGUAUAGAAAAUGACAAUUGCAUUAUUUUUCAGAUAGUCAUUUGGUCCCAAAAUGACGAGUGAUUUACUCCCAAGCUGAAACGAACCAUAGUAAAUGUAAUUGCAUGUAUAGAAAGAGUGGUCCGAUAGCAAAUAAUAAUCGCUUGCUUUGCUAUUACAGUGUAAGCUCGCUAAACUUUAGUGUUCUUGUUCUGCUUGGGAUUUUGGCGAGUUCAGUCCAGAAUACGGUUAAACGUAGUGGAUAUUAGUUUGAUGUUCAGUGACGAUAUUAAGCUAUGAAGAUUGAAGUUCACAUAAAUCGAUGCAUUAGCGAAGAAAAAGAUACGGUUAAUCAGUGAAUUGAAAAAUAAAAAUAGAAAAACAAAUAGAUGUUUAUGUCAGCGCCGUUACAUAAGUCGCCAACAAAAUCGAUACAGCCGUCAAAUGCUUCGCGGUCUCAACGAUCGAAGGCGGUGCCCAUGUCAUCAUGGGUUAUUUUUGGUAAUUUUUUCAGUUUAGGCAGUUUCGCCGUCGGCAGCAAUCGUGAAUACCUCGGCAACCAUGCCACCGAAAUCGAAGUGGCUAUACGCGACAACUGCACCGCAGCUCAUAGGUUCUUUUUUCUUAAUGGAAUUUUAUUGGCAAAUUUUAAAAUGGCAGGUGUCACUGCCUCCGAGCGGCCAGUUCAUAUUUUUCAUUUCGCAAACAGACCAGCUCUAACACCGGUUCUGCUCGUAAUUU